AGCGAGGACUCCAGAGUGCCCUCGAGCGACCCACAAUUCCCUCACCCUGGCUAGGGUUCCUAGCCCCUCCUCCUCCCCCGCCCCUCCUACUCCGCCGCCGCCGCUGAGUGCUUCCUGACCUCGCCAGGAGCAGAUAGCAGGACCCCACCGCCGUGCCUCCCUCUCUCCUUUCUCCUCUUUCCUCUCUCUCUCUCUCUCUCUCUCUCUCUCUCUCUCUUUUCUCUAAACUACGUGACGUUCCUCUCUACAUGUGCCUUCAUGGCCGCGUCAUGGAUCUCGGCGCCGUGGGCUGCUUGCUCCUCCUCCGACGGUCUGCGCAGGUGAUGGCGAGCUAUGUAGGUCAGUACCUCCUCUCAUCUUUCUGCCAAGGAUGCCUUGGCCUCUCCUUUCUCUGUCUGCAAGUGAUGGCAGCGGGGGAUCCGGGGCCGGUUGCGAACGGGAAUGAGGACUAGUGGCAGCAGGGAAUGAGAUCUGGUAGCGGUCUACUCCUCUCUCUCUCUCUCUCUCUCUCUCUCUCUCUCUCUCUCUCUCUCUCGAUGCUGGACUGCUGGUGUCGCCGAUGCAGUAUCAAGUUAGGGUGAUCUUAGUCUUCUUCAAGGUGUUGACAGAACUGAAGAAGAGGUACAGUGCCAUGAGCCCAUGAGAAACUUUGUGAUGCAAAUGAAUCAUCUCUGACUAUCUGUAACUUUGUGAUUUUUCGACAGUGACAAGUUGACAAUGAACUAUUUUCCUGCUUGACUUGAAUCGUCAAUGUAAUAUGUUAUGUAUUGCUGGUGACAUUUUAUGUAUUGCUUUGGUUUGUCCACAGUCAACCAAAUUAUGGAGUUUCAGUCAUAUAUGUUGUCUGUUAUUUCAUACUCGCCGGUCUCCGACCGCCGGCGUCGGCAGCACCGCCGCCUCCUCCAACACUCUUUGUCGGCCGCCCGCGUGCCGGUGCGAGGUAAGCUCGAUGCUCUCGGCAAGGUAUGUGAUCAGAUUCAGAUGGGCUCUUCUUCAGUUGCUCUAUCUGCCUUUUAUUUGAACGGAUCCGACGCUGGGAAAUUUUAUUUCAGGAAGCCAUGGAGCUGAGGGAGCAGGCGCAAAAUCUAUGGUACACAUCAAAUCGAAUCAAUAGUGGUUUUCUACAGGCACAUCAGUGCAAAAAAAUGACAAUUGAUAGCCUCUCCUUUUAGCUAUCAUACCAUGUGUUGUGUCACUAAGUUACAGUAUCAACUGCGGUCUACAUAUUUUCAUAUUACUGAAGUUUAUAGCCCUCCAAUGCAGUAUCAGUAUGCUUUAUAAAAUUAUUCGAGUAUUGCAAAAUUGCAUGAUACAUCAAAUUGGAGCGUAUUCUAUUUUUUAUGGACUGCGGACUUAUGUUGCUUAUUUAGAGGCUGCCGUACAUGGAUCAGGUAUGAUAUUGAUUGCAGAAAUUUCUAUACGACUCUUGUGAAUUUCGACCUUGUUCUUCUUGAUUUAGGAGAACUACAAUUUUUUGGUGCAUGAUCUAAAAUAGUUGCAACAAAUCCUCCCCUAAUGUUCUUAAUGUUCUAUGGUAAAUUACUCUAAUGAUUCAAUGGAUAAUAUAUGGUAUUGACUUGGACAUUGGUGUUGUGGAACACUCUAGAAGGUUUUGGAACUUAUAGAAGUAUCAGUUGGCAGGGUCUGAAAAUCAUGGUGUAAGUGUUUCAGCCUAUUAAUCUGUAGAUAAAAAAGUUUGUACAUCUCUACCAAUAAGGCAAUAAUCCCGAAGAAAGUUCUACUAUUGCAAACGCUCCAACUGAACAAGGAAUAUGAAUGUUUAAAUGAAGAAAGAAGCCAGUUUCUCGAGAAGGAAUACAGAAUAAUAUUUUGGAUUAUUUACUUGAGAUUUCUUCCAAGUCCAUGACCUCUGUAUGUUGAUUGUUUUAGAUGGUUUUCCCCGGUGAGAACAUUUUGAAGGUUAUCUCUUUAGGUUCUUGUAUUUAGCUCACGGCUCCAACUUUUCUUGAAGGGAAACUCAAGACAUGUAUGUGCGAGGAAGGGAAGAGGAGAGAAACUUUGACAUUUUUCAUAACUUUCUUUUUCCGUGGCAACGCAUGACCGUGGCACCUUACAAGAUGAUAAAGAUCAACACGGAUGUUCUGAUGUUCUGAUAACUGCAAAAUAGGAAUGCAUGCAUCAAUGGGCAUGAAGGGCGUGGGUUGAAGACCAAAUAUUCUACACUGUUCGGUCUAUUUAAAGGUAACUGUACUAAACAUCUUGUUCUUACUGCUCUUUACUCUUUAGUUAAUACCAUCAGUGUGGCACUCCUCCUUUUUAGCGUUCUUUUAGUUAGUAGCAGUAUUUUUGAAGUGUUUCUACCAUUUUUAUGGAGGUUCUUGCGCUGUUCACGAUAUUAGGCUGUAAUUGUUGCCAGCCUGAUCUUGGUAAAUUUUCCUUGCUUAGUCUUAAUAUUGAAACUUUCUCGGAGGAUCCAACCAAGGCCACAUUUUUUAUAAAUAAGAUGCAAGAUUUUAUUCUAUCAACAGGCUUUGAUGUGUCAUCAGCAGCUCUAUUACAAGUCUCUAGAGUCGGCUUACCCCAGUUAAUGUUACUGCUCUUUAUUCUUUAGUUAAAACCAUCGUUGUGACACCCCUGCUUUUAACAUUUGUUUAUUAGUAGCAGUAUUUUAAGAGUGUUUCUACCAUUUUGCUGGAGGUUUUACUGUGUUCUCGCUAUUAGACUGUAAUUAUUGCCAGUCUGAGCAACGUAAAAUUUCAUUAGUCUUGAAUAUGGAAACUUGCUCGGAGGAUCCAACCAAGGCCACAUUUUCAAUUAAAAAAUGCAAUAUUUUGUUCUGUCAACAAGCUUUGAUGUGUCAUCAGCAGCUCUAUUAGUAGUCUCUUGCAUUUUUACCUUUUAUGUUCAAGUAUCCAUAGAAAAGGUCACAAUACAUCACUUUCAUUUAUAUCGGAUGUGCGCAACGAAUCAUCUGGUUACAAUUCUGUAGAUUUUCCCGCUACCCUAUGGUUUGUAGUUAGUACCGAGUAUUAUAGUCCGUUUAGGCCUUGGAGUUGCGUAGGAUAUGAGAGCAAUAGGUUCAGUGAAAAAGUCUUAGAGUCUAGGAUGGAUUUUUUUUUGUAGACUCUUUUGAUGAGACCAGCAUGCGUUUUGUGCGGCGCAUCCAGGAGUCUGAGGUGAAGGAGGCUUUAAAAAGGAUGAAAGGAGGCAAGGCGAUGGGCCCUGAUUGUAUCCCCAUUGAGGUGUGGAAAGGUCUCGGGGACAUAGCGAUAGUAUGGCUAACCAAGCUUUUCAACCUCAUUUUUCGGGCAAACAAGAUGCCAGAAGA
Molecule: long non-coding RNA, 3289 nt
Organism: Triticum aestivum (bread wheat)
Lineage: Eukaryota; Viridiplantae; Streptophyta; Magnoliopsida; Poales; Poaceae
Exons: 4
Source: RefSeq, a predicted model, not a curated record